UGAUUCGGGCUCCGGCCCGAUCCUCCCACCCUUUGUGUACCUACCUCUGUUGCUUUGGCGGGCCGCGGUCCUCCGCGGCCGCCCCCCUCCCCGGGGGGUGGCCAGCGCCCGCCAGAGGACCAUCAAACUCCAGUCAGUAAACGAUGCAGUCUGAAAAACAUUUAAUAAACU
This 171-nucleotide unclassified non-coding RNA is filed under the name Botryosphaeria dothidea. RNAcentral's name for it is "ITS1". Lineage: Eukaryota; Fungi; Ascomycota; Dothideomycetes; Botryosphaeriales; Botryosphaeriaceae. The record is from RNAcentral.